This 235-nucleotide long non-coding RNA is filed under the name Hordeum vulgare. RNAcentral's name for it is "long non-coding RNA (HVUL_LNC015667)". The record is from RNAcentral. Lineage: Eukaryota; Viridiplantae; Streptophyta; Magnoliopsida; Poales; Poaceae.
UACAGAGCAGGGCCUUGGCGGAGUUCAUUGCAGAAUGGACCCCAACGCCAGACGAAGAAAUACCAGAAUCAACCCUCCUGGGGAGGGAAUCAUACCAGGAAUGGGUCAUGUACUUUGAUGGGGCGUUCUCCCUCCAGGGCGUCGGGGUUGGCGUGUUGCUAGUCACGCCUACCAGAGAGCAUCUCAAGUACGUGAUCCAUAUGUAUUUCCCUGGGAGAAGUCAACGAACAACACC